AGCAGCCGCGGUAAUUCCAGCUCCAAUAGCGUAUAUUAAAGUUGUUGCAGUUAAAAAGCUCGUAGUUGAAUUUCGGGGUUAGCAGGUCGGUCGUGCCAUUGGUAUGAACUGGUCUCGCUGAUCCCUCCCUCUUGACGAACUGUGAUGCCAUUAAUUUGGUGUCGCAGGGAAUCAGGACUGUUACUUUGAAAAAAUUAGAGUGUUUAAAGCAGGCUCACGCUUGAAUACAUUAGCAUGGAAUAAUGAAAUAGGACGUUUGAUCCUAUUUUGUUGGCUUCUAGGAUUGACGUAAUGAUUAAUAGGGAUAGUUGGGGGCAUUAGUAUUCAAUUGUCAGAGGUGAAAUUCUUGGAUUUAUUGAAGACUAACUACUGCGAAAGCAUUUGCCAAGGAUGUUUUCAUUAAUCAAGAACGAAAGUUAGGGGAUCGAAGACGAUCAGAUACCGUCGUAGUCUUAACCAUAAACUAUGCCGACUAGGGAUCGGAUGAUGUUAAUUUUUAAUGUACUCU
Molecule: ribosomal RNA, 508 nt
Filed under: uncultured Glomus
Lineage: Eukaryota; Fungi; Glomeromycota; Glomeromycetes; Glomerales; Glomeraceae
Description: SSU rRNA
Rfam family: Eukaryotic small subunit ribosomal RNA
Source: RNAcentral